This 429-nucleotide ribosomal RNA is filed under the name Chloroflexota bacterium. RNAcentral's name for it is "Chloroflexi bacterium partial 16S ribosomal RNA". It matches the Rfam family "Bacterial small subunit ribosomal RNA", at positions 355 to 776 of the family's 1533-position model. Lineage: Bacteria; Bacillati; Chloroflexota. The record is from RNAcentral.
UGGGGAAUAUUGCACAAUGGGCGCAAGCCUGAUGCAGCCAUGCCGCGUGUAUGAAGAAGGCCUUCGGGUUGUAAAGUACUUUCAGCGGGGAGGAAGGGAGUAAAGUUAAUACCUUUGCUCAUUGACGUUACCCGCAGAAGAAGCACCGGCUAACUCCGUGCCAGCAGCCGCGGUAAUACGGAGGGUGCAAGCGUUAAUCGGUAUUACUGGGCGUAAAGCGCACGCAGGCGGUUUGUUAAGUCAGAUGUGAAAUCCCCGGGCUCAACCUGGGAACUGCAUCUGAUACUGGCAAGCUUGAGUCUCGUAGAGGGGGGUAGAAUUCCAGGUGUAGCGGUGAAAUGCGUAGAGAUCUGGAGGAAUACCGGUGGCGAAGGCGGCCCCCUGGACGAAGACUGACGCUCAGGUGCGAAAGCGUGGGGAGCAAACAGG